UCUGCUCAAUGAUUUUUUAAAUUGCUGUGGUAUUUUGACUAUACAAAGGUAUUGUAAUAAGAUUUUAAUUGAAUGCUAAAAGAAUGGAUUAACAGGGAAACUCUUUUUUAAAUUUAAAAAUUAAAGUUAUUAUUUUUUGUGCAGAAACAAAAAUAAAAAUUAAGGACAAGAAGACCCUAAGAAUUUUUAUUUCAAUAGUAAAAUGAAUAUUGUUAUUGAAAUUUAAUUGGGGCGAUUGGAAAAUAUUUUAAACUUUUCUUUAAAAAAAAAAUGAACCAUUAUUAUUGGUAAUAUGAAAAAAUACUCUAGGGAUAACAGCGUAAUAAUUUUUAAUAGUUCAUAUAGACAAAAUAGUUUGCGACCUCGAUGUUGGAUUAGGAUUCUUAUUUAAUGAAGAAGUUAAAUAAAGAAG
RNAcentral lists this ribosomal RNA (412 nucleotides) under Amblyomma javanense. Its description in RNAcentral is "partial large subunit ribosomal RNA". The record is from RNAcentral. Lineage: Eukaryota; Metazoa; Arthropoda; Arachnida; Ixodida; Ixodidae.